Molecule: ribosomal RNA, 428 nt
Filed under: uncultured bacterium
Lineage: Bacteria
Description: bacterial SSU rRNA
Rfam family: Bacterial small subunit ribosomal RNA
Source: RNAcentral
UGAGGAAUCUUGUGCAAUGGGGGAAACCCUGACGCAGCAACGCCGCGUGAGUGAGGAAGGUCUUCGGAUCGUAAAGCUCUGUCGGGUGGAAAGAAAUGUAUGGGGUUAAUAGCCUUCAUACUUGACGGUACCACCAAAGGAAGCACCGGCUAACUCCGUGCCAGCAGCCGCGGUAAUACGGGGGGUGCAAGCGUUGUUCGGAAUUAUUGGGCGUAAAGAGCGUGUAGGCGGCUUGGUAAGUCAGAUGUGAAAGCCCUGGGCUUAACCCAGGAAGUGCAUUUGAAACUGCCUAGCUAGAGUAGGGGAGAGUGAAGUGGAAUUCCUUGUGUAGAGGUGAAAUUCGUAGAUAUCAGGAGGAACACCGGUGGCUAAGGCGACUUCCUGGCCCUAUACUGACGCUGAGACGCGAGAGCGUGGGUAGCAAACAG